Molecule: RNA transcript, 1171 nt
Organism: Quercus lobata
Lineage: Eukaryota; Viridiplantae; Streptophyta; Magnoliopsida; Fagales; Fagaceae
Gene name: 30S ribosomal protein S10, chloroplastic-like
Exons: 5
Source: RefSeq, a predicted model, not a curated record
GAAAAAAAGAAAAAAUUAUUUGGAUAAUUCUAGUCAGAACAAGCAACACAGAGAGAGGCUCAUACUCACAGCAAAAUAGAGAAAAACUGAGAGAGAGAGAGAGAGAGCUUUUUUCAAUGGCAGUUUCUUCAAUCUCUGCAACACUAAUUCCUUCCAUUCCAUUGCCCAAUUCUUCUCCAUUUCCUUCCAAACCAAAACUCUCUUCUGUCUCUUUCUACACUUGUAAAGCCUUAAAGCUCAAAGCCCUUAAACCCUCACUACCAUCUACCAGGGUUUAUGCUGCUCCUGAAGUGUUGGAAUCCCCAGAAACUCUAGACCCACCUCUAGAAACCCCAGAUGAGUCUGACCCUACUACAACCUUUGAGGUUGGAGAUUCCGAGACACCCAGUACUUCUUCACUCAGUAUUGGUGCAGAUGCAGACUCGAUGGCCCCAAAGCAGAAAAUCAGAAUUAAGCUUAGAUCAUACUGGGUGCCCCUAAUAGAGGACUCCUGCAAGCAGAUAUUGGAUGCUGCAAGGACUACAAAUGCAAAAACCAUGGGUCCUGUUCCAUUACCAACCAAGAAGCGAAUCUAUUGCGUUCUUAAAUCACCACAUGUGCACAAGGAUGCAAGAUUCCAUUUUGAGAUCCGUACGCACCAGCGCCUCAUUGAUAUUCUUUACCCAACUGCGCAAACAAUUGAUUCUUUGAUGCAACUUGAUCUUCCUGCUGGUGUUGAUGUGGAGGUCAAGCUCUGAAGAAACAGUGCUGCAGCUUAGGUUCUGGAUUGCUUCCUAGAGCAAAUAUCCCUUAGAGAUGUCAUUGUCGAGAUUUGCCUUGUAGAGGGGUGAUCACAGGAACAAGUUCAUUGAACAGUUGGCCUGUUCUCAGAAGUUUCUUUUGUGGAUUUCUUGUAAGCAAUAUCCUAUAGAAAAUUGAAACCACUGACCUCUUGAAGAAAGGCAUGUAGAGUUUCUCUGUGGCAUUCUCAUUUCCUUGUCCUUGCAUUAGUUGUUAGAGCUGGAUGAAAAAUACCAAGAUUUAUGACGUCUUGAAUGUUUAAUGAGCCGUGUUUUACUAUAUUCUAGUUCUUGUCAGAUUAGUAUGUGCUGUGACACAUUAUCUUGUAUUUUUUCAUAAAUAUGAAGUAGAUUUGAUAUAAAGGGUAGAAUGAGAUGAAAAGUUUACCACA